RNAcentral lists this transfer-messenger RNA (345 nucleotides) under Lachnospiraceae. RNAcentral's name for it is "UBA3766 sp900100245 Standard tmRNA". It matches the Rfam family "transfer-messenger RNA". From Rfam's summary of the family: Bacterial tmRNA, also known as 10Sa RNA or SsrA, is named for its dual tRNA and mRNA-like properties. Its role is to liberate the mRNA from a stalled ribosome. Lineage: Bacteria; Bacillati; Bacillota; Clostridia; Lachnospirales. The record is from RNAcentral. RNAcentral also lists the same sequence under 1 other name.
GGGCCAGUACUGGUUUCGACAGGGGUAAUGCACCUUUAGAAGCUAUCCGUCCGUGACGCGUCAGUUCACAAACCUAAAUAUAAACGCUGAUAAUAAAACAUUAGCUUUCGCUGCCUAAUCGCAGCGUGUCCGUGGUAUCAGUACCUGUCUUGAUAUCUUAGGGCAUCAUCUACCGACAGGAAACGACGUUUGGUUUGUCCCGGCCAAACGGGCGUAUUAGGGACUACCGACUUUAAGAGAUUGUCAAGCGUCUCUUAGGGAAGGGAAUUCUGAUGAUUGACUGUGAUAGGAGAAGGAGAGGGAAUUUGCUUUUGGACACGGGUUCGACCCCCGUCUGGUCCAUAA